RNAcentral lists this ribosomal RNA (1511 nucleotides) under Candidatus Moraniibacteriota bacterium. Its description in RNAcentral is "bacterial SSU rRNA". It matches the Rfam family "Bacterial small subunit ribosomal RNA". The record is from RNAcentral. Lineage: Bacteria; Candidatus Moraniibacteriota.
UUUAUAGAGAGUUUGAUCCUGGCUCAGGAUGAACGCUGGCGGCGUGGAUAAGGCAUGCAAGUCGAGAGGGUUUAGACCCUCGGCAAACGGGUUAGUAACGCGUGGGAACGUGCCCCAAAGUCAUGAAUAACUCGAAGAAAUUCGAGAUAAUACAUGAUAUGCUCUACGGAGUAAAGAUUUAUCGCUUUGGGAGCGGCCCGCGUCCUAUCAGCUUGUUGGUAAGGUAAUGGCUUACCAAGGCUACGACGGGUAGGGGGCGUGAGAGCGUGACCCCCAACAUUGGCACUGAGACACUGGCCAAACACCUACGGGUGGCUGCAGUCGAGAAUAUUCCACAAUGGACGAAAGUCUGAUGGAGCGACGCCGCGUGCGGGAUGAAGGUAUUCGUAUUGUAAACCGCUUUUCUGUGAGAAGAAUUUCGAUGACGGUAUCACAGGAAUAAGAGGUUACUAACUCUGUGCCAGCAGUAGCGGUAAUACAGAGACCUCAAGCGUUAUCCGGAUUUAUUGGGCGUAAAGAGUGAGCAGGCGGAUAUGUUAGUCGGACGUUAAAUUUUCGGGCUCAACUCGAAACUCGCGUUCGAAACGGCAUAUCUAGAGAGUGUGAGGGACCAAUAGAACUCAUGGUGUAGUAGUGAAAUGCGUUGAUAUCAUGAGGAAUACCUAAGGCGAAGGCAUUUGGUUGGCACAUUUCUGACGCUCAGUCACGAAAGCACGGGGAGCGAAUAGGAUUAGAUACCCUAGUAGUCCGUGCCGUAAACGAUGCAUACUAGGCAUUGGGGAAAUCGACCUCCUCAGUGUCGAAGCUAACGCGUUAAGUAUGCCGCCUGGGAAGUACGAGCGCAAGCUUAAAACUCAAAGGAAUAGACGGGGAUCCGCACAAGUGGUGGAGCGUGUGGUUUAAUUCGAUGGUAAGCGAGGCACCUCACCAGGGCUUGAAACUGAACUGCAAUAUCUGGAAACAGGUAUGCCUUCGAGGGUGUUCAGCAGGUGUUGCAUGGUUGUCGUCAGCUCGUGCCGUAAGGUGUUCCCUUAAGUGGGGUAACGAGCGCAACCCCUAUUGUAUGUUAUACAUGUCAUACAAGACUGCCCAGCCUAGAAAUCGUGAAACUUUACAUUUUUUGUAAUGGUUUUCGUGAUUUGUAGGCUGGGAGGAAGGAGGGGAUGACGUCAAAUCAGCAUGGCCCUUUGACGCCCUGGGCGACACACGCGCUACAAUGGCCGAUACAGAGGGUUGCCAAACCGCGAGGUGGAGCUAAUCUCAAAAAAUCGGUCUCAGUUCGGAUUGGAGUCUGCAACUCGACUCCAUGAAGCUGGAAUCACUAGUAAUCGGGAAUCAGCCACGUCCCGGUGAAUGCGUUCUCGGAUCUUGUACUCACCGCCCGUCACACCAAGAGAGCUGGCAACACCAGAAAGCCCCGUUUUAUACCGGGGAUUACGGUGGGGUCGGUGAUAAGGGUGAAGUCGUAACAAGGCAUCCGUAGCGGAAGCUGUGGAUGGAUCACCUCCUUU